GCUCUGCUUUACCUCACGGAGCAGUUGAUCCUUUCAGCUUGGCUAGUAGAGCAGCAUGGUGGCAGCAUUUUUAUUCCUGUCUGCUAACAGAGACGUCAGGCACAGGGGAGAGGUGAUUUGAAGACAUCGGCCUGCAUCAGGAGCCAGGCCCAGAAAAGAAGACUGUCCGUGCACUAGUCUUUGCUGUGUCUGCUAAAGCAGAUUCAUGUCUCACAUCCAUUCAUACAGGGUUACUUAAGGACUGUUUGAGCCUCAAGAAUAUAGAGGCCCAUCUAUCUUUGCAGUAAAACAAACAAAAAUAAAUAAAUAAAUAAACUGGGAUAUCUUUAAGAAAAAAAAAUGUUCCCAAACAAACCUCCUAGGAUCCUCAGAGCAUUCAGGACGAAGUCCCUUUGGAUCACCUCACAAGGGCGUCCAGUCCAGCUCUGGUGCCUCCUGCCUUCUCCAGGUUCUCACUUCUUGCUGGACUCCUUAGCAGCAGCCAUUUUAUUGACAGAGAAGAGAGCAACUUCCGGUCACCUCAAACUCCAGCCACAGCAGUAACCUCAGCUAUCCAGAAGGGAUGGGGAGUAGCAGAACCUCAGCUAUCCAGAAGGGAUGGGGAGUAGCAGAACCAGGCCAAAGAAAGUCACUGUGCUCUGACUUCCUUAUUCUGUCCUGGUCUUUUUGACAAUUUUUGUCUGAUUGAAAUGCCUAUACUCCUUUCAUCAAACUAUUUCCUAAUUGUCUUUCAAACCUCCACUAAAGCAUCUCUACCUUUUUCCUUUUAACUUUUUAUUGGUUCUUUCUGAAUUUCACAUCGUGUGCCCCAAUCCCACUCAUCUUCCCCUUCCCUCGUACCUGCCCUCUACCCGUGUAACCUUCCCCAAAAGAGAGAAAAAAGUUCUCCUUGUGGACGCUGUAGUGUGUCACAGAGUAUACACCCUUUGUCCACACUUCUUUUCAUUGCAGUGAGUAGGCUUCUGCUACUCUGUGUUGAUCCUGGAACCUCACUGGGAAUCCUCUCAGAUACCCUGUUGAUGCCCUGUGUCAUGGAGAUCCUCUACUUCUGGAUCUGUAGGACCGGCCCCUCAUGCACUACAGCAGUUCAUCAAAGGGAUAGAUGUUGGGGUGGGCCAAUUCAGAGCUCUGGAUCUGGGCCUGAGAGUUUUCUGAGUUUUCUGUCAGCCUAAUAGCUUGCUCAAACCCCACUGCAUGGGGGCAAGUUCUGCUCUCAUGCCUGGGCAGGAGGAGGGCAGUGGGGAAGAGUUGGGCUAGUAUCCAUGCCUAUAGUGGGGGUGAUAUCCAUACCCAUGCUACCAGGGCCAGUUCUAUUGUGCCUCUAGGUGAGGAACAGGACUUGCUCUCCCGGCAUCUCGGCUUUCUUUCCCUAAGUCCUACUCUCCCCUUGUUGCCUCUGCCUGCAUUAUAUGCUUUGUUUCCCCAGCAUUUAGUGUUCUCCUUUAGAGAUGGAAUUAUACUUCUGUAUUCCAGCAUGAAAUCUUACAGAGAGAUGGGAGACCCUAAAGAUUCUGAAUAAGUUCACUAAACUCAAGCCACCUGCGUCUAUAAGCAUCCCUGAGGUCCAGCCCUGGCAAAUGUGAUUAUGUCCCAGUCUCAGACAGUGGCCAUUUUGUUUACUCUUUCUAGAAGCUACAUGUAAUAAAUACAGGCAAGGGGCUAUCAUAAGAAGCAAAGGAGUCUCGAGCUGGUAAGCCAUGAGAAUAGAAAGAUAAUGACUAACCAAGCCUUUGGAAUCCGACAGUCUUUUCAGAGUAGCAGCCUGGCUUAUUCUUGUCCUAGCUCACUACAUCUCAACAUUAAAAGAGUCCUCAGAGAUUGUCCAUGAAAUUCCAAGAGCUCCUUAGAGGUAGGCAUACUAAGUGUCUGGUCCUUAUCCCAACUCACG
This 1888-nucleotide long non-coding RNA is filed under the name Mus musculus (house mouse). RNAcentral describes it as "long non-coding RNA chr4:115816506-115818394". Lineage: Eukaryota; Metazoa; Chordata; Mammalia; Rodentia; Muridae. The record is from RNAcentral.